Molecule: ribosomal RNA, 303 nt
Filed under: uncultured bacterium
Lineage: Bacteria
Description: partial 16S ribosomal RNA
Rfam family: Bacterial small subunit ribosomal RNA
Source: RNAcentral
AGCAGUCGCCGCGGGAACACGUAGGUGGCAAGCGUUGUCCGGAAUUAUUGGGCGUAAAGGGCUCGCAGGCGGUUUCUUAAGUCUGAUGUGAAAGCCCCCGGCUCAACCGGGGAGGGUCAUUGGAAACUGGGAAACUUGAGUGCAGAAGAGGAGAGUGGAAUUCCACGUGUAGCGGUGAAAUGCGUAGAGAUGUGGAGGAACACCAGUGGCGAAGGCGACUCUCUAGUCAGUAACUGACGCUGAGGAGCGAAAGCGUGGGGAGCGAACAGGAUUAGAUACCCCCGUAGUCCCUGUCUCUUAUAC